GAUGAACGCUAGCUACAGGCUUAACACAUGCAAGUCGAGGGGCAGCACUGGGAUUGCUUGCAAUCCCUGGUGGCGACCGGCGAAUGGGUGAGUAACACGUAUGCGACCUGCCCCGGACAGGGGGAUAAACCCGGGAAACUGGGUCUAAUACCCCAUAUGCCCUGAGGACGCAUGUCCUUAGGGUGAAAGAUCCGUCGGUCCGGGAUGGGCAUGCGGCGCAUUAGCUUGUUGGCGGGGUAACGGCCCACCAAGGCGACGAUGCGUAGGGGUUCUGAGAGGAAGGUCCCCCACACUGGUACUGAGACACGGACCAGACUCC
This 319-nucleotide ribosomal RNA is filed under the name uncultured Bacteroidales bacterium. RNAcentral describes it as "bacterial SSU rRNA". It matches the Rfam family "Bacterial small subunit ribosomal RNA", at positions 28 to 339 of the family's 1533-position model. The record is from RNAcentral. Lineage: Bacteria; Pseudomonadati; Bacteroidota; Bacteroidia; Bacteroidales.